RNAcentral lists this ribosomal RNA (253 nucleotides) under uncultured bacterium. RNAcentral describes it as "partial 16S ribosomal RNA". It matches the Rfam family "Bacterial small subunit ribosomal RNA", at positions 524 to 776 of the family's 1533-position model. The record is from RNAcentral.
UACGAAGGGGGCUAGCGUUGUUCGGAAUUACUGGGCGUAAAGGGCGCGUAGGCGGUUUGUCAAGUCAGGCGUGAAAGCCCCGGGCUCAACCUGGGAACUGCGCUUGAGACUGGCAGGCUCGAGUUCGGGAGAGGAUGGUGGAAUUCCCAGUGUAGAGGUGAAAUUCGUAGAUAUUGGGAAGAACACCGAUGGCGAAGGCAGCCAUCUGGACCGACACUGACGCUGAGGCGCGAAAGCGUGGGGAGCAAACAGG